UACGUAGGGGGCAAGCGUUGUCCGGAAUCAUUGGGCGUAAAGCGCGUGUAGGCGGCUCGAUAAGUCUGCUGUGAAAGUCCAGGGCUCAACCCUGGGAUGCCGGUGGAUACUGUCGAGCUCGAGUCCGGAAGAGGCGAGUGGAAUUCCUGGUGUAGCGGUGAAAUGCGCAGAUAUCAGGAGGAACACCGGUGGCGAAGGCGGGUCUCUGGGCCGAUACUGACGCUGAGGAGCGAAAGCCAGGGGAGCAAACGGG
RNAcentral lists this ribosomal RNA (253 nucleotides) under uncultured bacterium. Its description in RNAcentral is "partial 16S ribosomal RNA". It matches the Rfam family "Bacterial small subunit ribosomal RNA", at positions 524 to 776 of the family's 1533-position model. The record is from RNAcentral.